GCGUCGAUACUUCAGUGGCAGAGCAGUGGGACGGUACCCCACCGACCCCGGCUUCGAUUCCCGGUCGAUGUU
Non-coding RNA from Phthorimaea operculella (potato tuberworm), 72 nucleotides. NCBI's taxonomy places the organism in Eukaryota, Metazoa, Arthropoda, Insecta, Lepidoptera, Gelechiidae. The record is from the annotation of a GenBank genome assembly.